AACGAACGCUGGCGGCAUGCCUAACACAUGCAAGUCGAACGAGACCUUCGGGUCUAGUGGCGCACGGGUGCGUAACGCGUGGGAACCUGCCUUCAGGUUCGGAAUAACUCAGAGAAAUUUGAGCUAAUACCGGAUAAUGUCUUCGGACCAAAGAUUUAUCGCCUUUAGAUGGGGCCGCGUUGGAUUAGCUAGUUGGUGGGGUAAAGGCCUACCAAGGCGACGAUCCAUAGCUGUUCUGAGAGGAUGAUCAGCCACACUGGGACUGAGACACGGCCCAGACUCCUACGAGAGGCAGCAGUGGGGAAUAUUGGACAAUGGGCGAAAGCCUGAUCCAGCAAUGCCGCGUGAGUGAUGAAGGCCUUAGGGUUGUAAAGCUCUUUUACCCGAGAUGAUAAUGACAGUAUCGGGAGAAUAAGCUCCGGCUAACUCCGUGCCAGCAGCCGCCGUAA
This 449-nucleotide ribosomal RNA is filed under the name uncultured bacterium. RNAcentral's name for it is "partial 16S ribosomal RNA". It matches the Rfam family "Bacterial small subunit ribosomal RNA", at positions 29 to 523 of the family's 1533-position model. The record is from RNAcentral.